RNAcentral lists this ribosomal RNA (520 nucleotides) under uncultured Glomus. Its description in RNAcentral is "SSU rRNA". It matches the Rfam family "Eukaryotic small subunit ribosomal RNA", at positions 569 to 1094 of the family's 1831-position model. Lineage: Eukaryota; Fungi; Glomeromycota; Glomeromycetes; Glomerales; Glomeraceae. The record is from RNAcentral.
AGCAGCCGCGGUAAUUCCAGCUCCAAUAGCGUAUAUUAAAGUUGCUGCAGUUAAAAAGCUCGUAGUUGAAUUUCGGGACCGAUAUAUCGGUCGUGCCUCGGUACGUACUGGUAUUUUCGGUUUCUACCUUCUGACGAACCUUGAUGUCAUUAAUUUGGUGUCUUGGGGAAUCAGGACUGUUACUUUGAAAAAAUUGAGUGUUUAAAGCAGGCUCACGCUUGAAUACAUUAGCAUGGAAUAAUGAAAUAGGACGUUUGAUUCUAUUUUGUUGGUUUCUAGGAUCGACGUAAUGAUUAAUAGGGAUAGUUGGGGGCAUUAGUAUUCAAUUGUCAGAGGUGAAAUUCUUGGAUUUAUUGAAGACUAACUACUGCGAAAGCAUUUGCCAAGGAUGUUUUCAUUAAUCAAGAACGAAAGUUAGGGAUCGAAGACGAUCAGAUACCGUCGUAGUCUUAACCAUAAACUAUGACCGACUAGGGAUCGGAUGAUGUUAAUUUUUAAUGUACUCAUUCGCGCUUACGGG